GGAAACCCAGUGUGAUUCGUCACACUAUCAUUAACUGAAUCCAUAGGUUAAUGAGGCGAACCGGGGGAACUGAAACAUCUAAGUACCCCGAGGAAAAGAAAUCAACCGA
Molecule: ribosomal RNA, 109 nt
Filed under: Salmonella enterica subsp. enterica serovar Cerro
Lineage: Bacteria; Pseudomonadati; Pseudomonadota; Gammaproteobacteria; Enterobacterales; Enterobacteriaceae
Description: partial 23S ribosomal RNA
Rfam family: Bacterial large subunit ribosomal RNA
Source: RNAcentral